RNAcentral lists this ribosomal RNA (751 nucleotides) under uncultured bacterium. RNAcentral describes it as "bacterial SSU rRNA". It matches the Rfam family "Bacterial small subunit ribosomal RNA", at positions 59 to 777 of the family's 1533-position model. The record is from RNAcentral.
CAGUCGAACGGGAAGAGAUGAAGAGCUUGCUCUUUAUCGAAUCCAGUGGCAAACGGGUGAGUAACACGUAAACAACCUGCCUUCAGGAUGGGGACAACAGACGGAAACGACUGCUAAUACCGAAUACGUUCCACGGGUCGCAUGACCUGUGGAAGAAAGGGUAGCCUCUACCUGUAAGCUUUCGCCUGAAGAGGGGUUUGCGUCUGAUUAGGCAGUUGGUGGGGUAACGGCCCACCAAACCAACGAUCAGUAGCCGGUCUGAGAGGAUGAACGGCCACACUGGAACUGAGACACGGUCCAGACUCCUACGGGAGGCAGCAGUGGGGAAUCUUCCGCAAUGGACGAAAGUCUGACGGAGCAACGCCGCGUGAGUGAAGACGGCCUUCGGGUUGUAAAGCUCUGUGAUCCGGGACGAAAGAGCCUUGGGUAAAUAGCCUAAGGAAGUGACGGUACCGGAAAAGCAAGCCACGGCUAACUACGUGCCAGCAGCCGCGGUAAUACGUAGGUGGCAAGCGUUGUCCGGAAUUAUUGGGCGUAAAGCGCGCGCAGGCGGCUUCCUAAGUCCAUCUUAAAAGUGCGGGGCUUAACCCCGUGAUGGGAUGGAAACUGGGAAGCUGGAGUAUCGGAGAGGAAAGUGGAAUUCCUAGUGUAGCGGUGAAAUGCGUAGAGAUUAGGAAGAACACCGGUGGCGAAGGCGACUUUCUGGACGAAAACUGACGCUGAGGCGCGAAAGCGUGNGGAGCAAACAGGA